This 1107-nucleotide ribosomal RNA is filed under the name uncultured organism. RNAcentral describes it as "bacterial SSU rRNA". It matches the Rfam family "Bacterial small subunit ribosomal RNA", at positions 197 to 1292 of the family's 1533-position model. The record is from RNAcentral.
ACUGUGAAAGGCGCUUAGGCGCCGUCUGAAGAUGACCUGCGGUUAUUAGCUAGUUGGUAGGUAACGGCUACCAGGCGACGAUAAGUAGCCGGCCUGAGAGGGUGGACGUGCCACACUGNGGACUGAGACACGGCCCAGACUCCUACGGGAGGCAGCAGCUAAGAAUCUUCCGCAAUGGGCGAAAGCNCUGACGGAGCGACGCCGCGUGGGUGAAGAAGGCCGAAAGGUUGUAAAGCCCUUUUCUCGCAGAAGAAUAAGGGGCAGGAGGGAAUGCCUGUCUGAUGACGUAGUGAGGAAUAAGCCCCGGCCAAUUACGUGCCAGCAGCCGCGGUAACACGGUAUGGGGCGAGCGUUGUUCGGAAUCAUUGGGCGUAAAGGGCGCGCAGGCGGUUAAAUAAGCCUGGUGUGAAAGGCUACAGCUCAACUGUAGUUUCGCGCUGGGAACUGUUUGACUAGAGUUCUGGAGGGGAAGCUGGAAUUCCUGGUGUAGGGGUGAAAUCUGUAGAUAUCAGGAAGAACACCGGUGGCGAAGGCGAGCUUCUAGCCAAGAACUGACGCUGAGGCGCGAAAGCGUGGGGAGCGAACAGGAUUAGAUACCCUGGUAGUCCACGCUGUAAACGAUGUGCACUAGGUGUUGGUCCAUAAGGAUCGGUGCCGGAAAGCUAACGCGAUAAGUGCACCGCCUGGGGAGUAUGCUCGCAAGGGUGAAACUCAAAGGAAUUGACGGGGGCCCGCACAAGCGGUGGAGCAUGUGGUUUAAUUCGAUGAUACGCGAGAAACCUUACCAGGGCUUGACAUAUACCGGAUGUUCGCGAGAGAUCGUGAUUCCCUUCGGGGCCGGUAUACAGGUGCUGCAUGGCUGUCGUCAGCUCGUGCCGUGAGGUGUUGGGUUAAGUCCCGCAACGAGCGCAACCCCUGCUGUCUGUUGCUAACAGGUGAAGCUGAGGACUCAGACGGAACUGCCNCGGUGACAAANCCCGGAGGAACGGUGGGGACGACGUCAAGUCAUCAUGGCCCUUAUGUCCUGGCGACACACGUGCUACAAUGGCUGGUACCAGAGCGAAGCAAGACCGCGAGGUGGAGCAAAUCGCAGAAGCCGGUCUCAGU